GGAAAAGGGUCGGCUUGAUGGAGGGCUUCUUGAGGUUGCGUUGGACAGAUUGGAAAGUGAAUUUCGACGGCUCUUGGUUGAAAAUACUAUUCCACUGCCAAUGUCUGAUCCAGCCUUGCCAGGUGAACAAGCAUGCAUUGCGCCCUCGCCUUUGCCAGUGAUCGUUAUCCAGAAGCUACAGGCUAUACUCGGAAGAUUGAUUGCUAAUAACAGACUCGAUAAGUGCAUAUCUAUUUAUGUUGAGGUGAGGAGUUCUAAUGUCCGGACAAGUUUGC
This 275-nucleotide unclassified non-coding RNA is filed under the name Hevea brasiliensis (rubber tree). Lineage: Eukaryota; Viridiplantae; Streptophyta; Magnoliopsida; Malpighiales; Euphorbiaceae. The record is from RNAcentral.